GCCUAGUUAGCUUGGUUGGUAGCGCGUCUGCCUUGUAAGCGCUAGGCCGCGGGUUCGAUCCCCGCCCGGGGCG
Molecule: transfer RNA, 73 nt
Filed under: Diaphorina citri (Asian citrus psyllid)
Lineage: Eukaryota; Metazoa; Arthropoda; Insecta; Hemiptera; Psyllidae
Rfam family: tRNA
About the family: Transfer RNA (tRNA) molecules are approximately 80 nucleotides in length. Their secondary structure includes four short double-helical elements and three loops (D, anti-codon, and T loops).
Source: Rfam by way of RNAcentral